CCGUUCUUGUGUUAUUCCCUGAAUUUAUCUCUCUAAUCAGAGGAUGUCAAACAGAACGCAAAGUGAAUAACAAGCCCGCUUACUCCACAUUGUAGAGCCUAUCGAAACCUAGGCUUCUACAUAACUUACCGCCGGCCACAUGC
Drosophila virilis is the source of this 143-nucleotide non-coding RNA. The record is from Rfam. NCBI's taxonomy places the organism in Eukaryota, Metazoa, Arthropoda, Insecta, Diptera, Drosophilidae.